This 429-nucleotide ribosomal RNA is filed under the name Chloroflexota bacterium. Its description in RNAcentral is "Chloroflexi bacterium partial 16S ribosomal RNA". It matches the Rfam family "Bacterial small subunit ribosomal RNA", at positions 355 to 776 of the family's 1533-position model. The record is from RNAcentral. Lineage: Bacteria; Bacillati; Chloroflexota.
UGGGGAAUAUUGCACAAUGGGCGCAAGCCUGAUGCAGCCAUGCCGCGUGUAUGAAGAAGGCCUUCGGGUUGUAAAGUACUUUCAGCGGGGAGGAAGGGAGUAAAGUUAAUACCUAUGCUCAUUGACGUUACCCGCAGAAGAAGCACCGGCUAACUCCGUGCCAGCAGCCGCGGUAAUACGGAGGGUGCAAGCGUUAAUCGGAAUUACUGGGCGUAAAGCGCACGCAGGCGGUUUGUUAAGUCAGAUGUGAAAUCCCCGGGCUCAACCUGGGAACUGCAUCUGAUACUGGCAAGCUUGAGUCUCGUAGAGGGGGGUAGAAUUCCAGGUGUAGCGGUGAAAUGCGUAGAGAUCUGGAGGAAUACCGGUGGCGAAGGCGGCCCCCUGGACGAAGACUGACGCUCAGGUGCGAAAGCGUGGGGAGCAAACAGG